This 516-nucleotide long non-coding RNA is filed under the name Drosophila melanogaster (fruit fly). Its description in RNAcentral is "long non-coding RNA:CR43912 (Dmel_CR43912)". The record is from RNAcentral. Lineage: Eukaryota; Metazoa; Arthropoda; Insecta; Diptera; Drosophilidae.
UGGCAUCGUUGCAAUUCGGUUCUAACAUGAAGACUCUGGUGUUUCAACUAUUAGCACUCUCUUGCCUGAUGAGAAUGGUAGUCUCUGAAAUAAAACCUGAUGCAGCUUGGUUAAAAAAGAAUGAAGAUCUUGUGAAAUGGUGCCAUCUAAAUCAGGGAUCCUUGUGGGACCGCGAAAAAUGUGUAUAUAAUGGUAUAACAUAAAGACAUUCCAUAACAUUUAUGUUGAAUUUAACAAUUAAUUUAACUAAAAAGAUAAUUAUACACAGAUAUAAAUGCUUUUGGUUCUACUGAUUAAAUAAUAAGAGUGUCCUUUGGAGUAUACAAACACCUCGAUGGCAUCUCGAUAUGUAUUUGCAUUCAAUCCCAUUGCAAUCAUAACGGUUCCACGGACUGCAGCCUGCAUCUGCUCCCCUGGAAGUAUCGUGCCUCCACGCCAUCAUCAUAAUCAUCCUGGUGCACAGACGCUCUAAUCGCUCAUUAAACGGCCACAAUUUGCCCGGACGGCGUUGCAUUU